AGCAAUUCCGGUUGAUCCUGCCGGAGGCUACUGCUAUCGGAGUCCGAUUUAGCCAUGCUAGUCCACCGAGUCUUUGACUCGGGGCGGAUAGCUGAGUAACACGUGGCUAACCUGCCCUGUGGAUGGAGAUAACCUCGCUAACGUGAGGCUAAUAUCCAAUAGCAGAUGAUUGCUGGAAAGCGUCGUCUGUGAAAUGUUCCGACGCCAUAGGAUGGAGUCGCGGCUGAUUAGGUUGUUGGUGAGGUAACGGCUCACCAAGCCAGUAAUCAGUAGCAGCCGUGAGAGCGGGAGCUGUCAGUUGGCUUCUGAGACAAGAAGCCAGACCCUACGGGGUGCAGCAGGCACGAAACCUUCACAAUGCACGAGAGUGCGAUGGGGGGACUCCGAGUGUAAUCUUCCCACAAGGAAGGUUACUUUUCUGCACUGUAAGGAGGUGCCGGAACAAGGGGUGGGCAACACUGCUGCCAGCCGCCGCGGUAAUAGCAGGACCCCAAGUGGUAGUCGUUAUUAUUGGGCUUAAAGUGUUCGUAGCCUGCCGUGCAAGUCCGCUGUGAAAUCCACGCGCUCAACGUGUGGGCGUGCAGCGGAUACUGUAUGGCUAGGGACCGGACGGCGUUGAGGCUAUUCCCGGGGUAGGAGUGAAAUCCUAAAAUCCUGGGAGGAGCACCUGUGGCGAAAGCGCUCAACGAGUACGGAUCCGACGGUGAGGAACGAAAGCCAGGGGAGCAAAGCGGAUUAGAUACCCGCGUAGUCCUGGCCGUUAACAAUGUCCGUUUGAUGUCGGCUAACCUCCGAGGUUAGCCGGUGCCGAAGUGAAAACGUUAAACGGACCGCCUGGGAAGUACGGUCGCAAGGCUGAAACUUAAAGGAAUUGACGGGGGAGCACCACAACCGGUGGAGACUGCGGUUUAAUUAGAUCCAACGCAGAGUACCCUACCAGAGCCGACAGCAGAAUGACGGUCAGCUUGAAGAGCUUACCUGACGCGCUGAGAGGAGCUGCAUGGCCGCCGUCAGCUCGUGCUGUGAAGUGUCCGGUUAAGUCCGGUAACGAGCGAGACCCGCACUCUAUGUUGCCAAGGAUUCCUUCGGGAAUUCUGCACUCGUAGAGGACCGCUGGCGAUAAGCCAGGGGAAGGAGCGGGCCACGGUAGGUCAGUAUGGCCCGAAUGCUCUGGGAUACACGCGGUCUACAAUGGCCGGAACAAAGAGAUGCAACCCCGAGGAGGGGAAGCUAACCUCCUAAACCCGGUCCUAAUUCGAAUCGAGGACUGCAACUCGUUCUCGUGAAGGCGAAAUCGGUAGUAGUCGCUGGUCAUCAUCUAGCGGCGAAUAUGUCCCUGCUCCUUGUACACACUGCCUGUCAAGUCACCCGAGUCAGGUUCAGACGAGGGCCUCUUUAUAGAGGAACAAGUCUGAGCUUGGCAAGGGGGGCUAAGUCAUAACAAGGUAGCCGUUGGGGAACCAUCGGCUGGAUCACCUCCAAAACAA
This 1487-nucleotide ribosomal RNA is filed under the name Nanohaloarchaea archaeon SG9. Its description in RNAcentral is "bacterial SSU rRNA". It matches the Rfam family "Archaeal small subunit ribosomal RNA". The record is from RNAcentral. Lineage: Archaea; Methanobacteriati; Methanobacteriota; Candidatus Nanohaloarchaea.